CCUACGGGGGGCUGCAGUGGGGAAUAUUGGACAAUGGGGGGAACCCUGAUCCAGCCAUGCCGCGUGUGUGAAGAAGGCCCUCGGGUUGUAAAGCACUUUCAGUGAGGAAGAACGCCUGGUGGUUAAUACCCAUCAGGAAAGACAUCACUCACAGAAGAAGCACCGGCUAACUCCGUGCCAGCAGCCGCGGUAAUACGGAGGGUGCGAGCGUUAAUCGGAAUUACUGGGCGUAAAGCGCGCGUAGGUGGCUUGAUAAGCCGGUUGUGAAAGCCCCGGGCUCAACCUGGGAACGGCAUCCGGAACUGUCAAGCUAGAGUGCAGGAGAGGAAGGUAGAAUUCCCGGUGUAGCGGUGAAAUGCGUAGAGAUCGGGAGGAAUACCAGUGGCGAAGGCGGCCUUCUGGACUGACACUGACACUGAGGUGCGAAAGCGUGGGUAGCAAACAGGAUUAGAUACCCCUGUGUC
This 464-nucleotide ribosomal RNA is filed under the name Vreelandella stevensii. RNAcentral describes it as "partial 16S ribosomal RNA". It matches the Rfam family "Bacterial small subunit ribosomal RNA", at positions 338 to 795 of the family's 1533-position model. The record is from RNAcentral. Lineage: Bacteria; Pseudomonadati; Pseudomonadota; Gammaproteobacteria; Oceanospirillales; Halomonadaceae.